GACGAACGCUGGCGGCGUGCUUAACACAUGCAAGUCGAACGCUGAAGCACCAGCUUGCUGGUGUGGAUGAGUGGCGAACGGGUGAGUAAUACGUGAGUAACCUGCCCUUGACUCUGGGAUAAGCCCGGGAAACUGGGUCUAAUACUGGAUGCUACAUGUCACCGCAUGGUGGUGUGUGGAAAGGGUUUACUGGUCUUGGAUGGGCUCACGGCCUAUCAGCUUGUUGGUGAGGUAAUGGCUCACCAAGGCGACGACGGGUAGCCGGCCUGAGAGGGUGACCGGCCACACUGGUACUGAGACACGGCCCAGACUCCUACGGGAGGCAGCAGUGGGGAAUAUUGCACAAUGGGCGAAAGCCUGAUGCAGCGACGCCGCGUGAGGGAUGACGGCCUUCGGGUUGUAAACCUCUUUCAGCAGGGAAGAAGCCACAAGUGACGGUACCUGCAGAAGAAGCGCCGGCUAACUACGG
Molecule: ribosomal RNA, 469 nt
Filed under: uncultured bacterium
Lineage: Bacteria
Description: partial 16S ribosomal RNA
Rfam family: Bacterial small subunit ribosomal RNA
Source: RNAcentral